Molecule: small nuclear RNA, 107 nt
Organism: Phodopus roborovskii (desert hamster)
Lineage: Eukaryota; Metazoa; Chordata; Mammalia; Rodentia; Cricetidae
Source: RefSeq, a predicted model, not a curated record
GCUCACUUUGUCAGCUCAAAUACUAAAAUUUGGAACAAUACGGAGAAUAUUAGCAUGGACCAAGUACAAGGAUGACAUGCAAAGGAUGGCAGAUCUGGGAAGCAUUC